RNAcentral lists this ribosomal RNA (1554 nucleotides) under Klebsiella pneumoniae. Its description in RNAcentral is "bacterial SSU rRNA". It matches the Rfam family "Bacterial small subunit ribosomal RNA". The record is from RNAcentral. Lineage: Bacteria; Pseudomonadati; Pseudomonadota; Gammaproteobacteria; Enterobacterales; Enterobacteriaceae.
ACUUAAAUUGAAGAGUUUGAUCAUGGCUCAGAUUGAACGCUGGCGGCAGGCCUAACACAUGCAAGUCGAGCGGUAGCACAGAGAGCUUGCUCUCGGGUGACGAGCGGCGGACGGGUGAGUAAUGUCUGGGAAACUGCCUGAUGGAGGGGGAUAACUACUGGAAACGGUAGCUAAUACCGCAUAACGUCGCAAGACCAAAGUGGGGGACCUUCGGGCCUCAUGCCAUCAGAUGUGCCCAGAUGGGAUUAGCUGGUAGGUGGGGUAACGGCUCACCUAGGCGACGAUCCCUAGCUGGUCUGAGAGGAUGACCAGCCACACUGGAACUGAGACACGGUCCAGACUCCUACGGGAGGCAGCAGUGGGGAAUAUUGCACAAUGGGCGCAAGCCUGAUGCAGCCAUGCCGCGUGUGUGAAGAAGGCCUUCGGGUUGUAAAGCACUUUCAGCGGGGAGGAAGGCGGUGAGGUUAAUAACCUCACCGAUUGACGUUACCCGCAGAAGAAGCACCGGCUAACUCCGUGCCAGCAGCCGCGGUAAUACGGAGGGUGCAAGCGUUAAUCGGAAUUACUGGGCGUAAAGCGCACGCAGGCGGUCUGUCAAGUCGGAUGUGAAAUCCCCGGGCUCAACCUGGGAACUGCAUUCGAAACUGGCAGGCUAGAGUCUUGUAGAGGGGGGUAGAAUUCCAGGUGUAGCGGUGAAAUGCGUAGAGAUCUGGAGGAAUACCGGUGGCGAAGGCGGCCCCCUGGACAAAGACUGACGCUCAGGUGCGAAAGCGUGGGGAGCAAACAGGAUUAGAUACCCUGGUAGUCCACGCUGUAAACGAUGUCGAUUUGGAGGUUGUGCCCUUGAGGCGUGGCUUCCGGAGCUAACGCGUUAAAUCGACCGCCUGGGGAGUACGGCCGCAAGGUUAAAACUCAAAUGAAUUGACGGGGGCCCGCACAAGCGGUGGAGCAUGUGGUUUAAUUCGAUGCAACGCGAAGAACCUUACCUGGUCUUGACAUCCACAGAACUUUCCAGAGAUGGAUUGGUGCCUUCGGGAACUGUGAGACAGGUGCUGCAUGGCUGUCGUCAGCUCGUGUUGUGAAAUGUUGGGUUAAGUCCCGCAACGAGCGCAACCCUUAUCCUUUGUUGCCAGCGGUUAGGCCGGGAACUCAAAGGAGACUGCCAGUGAUAAACUGGAGGAAGGUGGGGAUGACGUCAAGUCAUCAUGGCCCUUACGACCAGGGCUACACACGUGCUACAAUGGCAUAUACAAAGAGAAGCGACCUCGCGAGAGCAAGCGGACCUCAUAAAGUAUGUCGUAGUCCGGAUUGGAGUCUGCAACUCGACUCCAUGAAGUCGGAAUCGCUAGUAAUCGUAGAUCAGAAUGCUACGGUGAAUACGUUCCCGGGCCUUGUACACACCGCCCGUCACACCAUGGGAGUGGGUUGCAAAAGAAGUAGGUAGCUUAACCUUCGGGAGGGCGCUUACCACUUUGUGAUUCAUGACUGGGGUGAAGUCGUAACAAGGUAACCGUAGGGGAACCUGCGGUUGGAUCACCUCCUUACCUUAAAGAA